This 497-nucleotide ribosomal RNA is filed under the name uncultured bacterium. Its description in RNAcentral is "partial 16S ribosomal RNA". It matches the Rfam family "Bacterial small subunit ribosomal RNA", at positions 28 to 507 of the family's 1533-position model. The record is from RNAcentral.
GAUGAACGCUGGCGGCGUGCCUAAUACAUGCAAGUCGAGCGAACGGACGAGAAGCUUGCUUCUCUGAUGUUAGCGGCGGACGGGUGAGUAACACAUGGAUAACCUACCUAUAAGACUGGGAUAACUUCGGGAAACCGGAGCUAAUACCGGAUGAUAUUUUGAACCGCAUGGUUCAAAAGUGAAAGACGGUCUUGCUGUCACUUAUAGAUGGAUCCGCGCUGCAUUAGCUAGUUGGUAAGGUAACGGCUUACCAAGGCAACGAUGCAUAGCCGACCUGAGAGGGUGAUCGGCCACACUGGAACUGAGACACGGUCCAGACUCCUACGGGAGGCAGCAGUAGGGAAUCUUCCGCAAUGGGCGAAAGCCUGACGGAGCAACGCCGCGUGAGUGAUGAAGGUCUUCGGAUCGUAAAACUCUGUUAUUAGGAAAGAACAUAUGUGUAAGUAACUGUGCACAUCUUGACGGUACCUAAUCAGAAAGCCACGGCUAACUACGUG